Molecule: ribosomal RNA, 398 nt
Filed under: uncultured bacterium
Lineage: Bacteria
Description: bacterial SSU rRNA
Rfam family: Bacterial small subunit ribosomal RNA
Source: RNAcentral
GACGAACGCUGGCGGCGUGCUUAACACAUGCAAGUCGAGCGGUAAGGCCCUUUCGGGGGUACACGAGCGGCGAACGGGUGAGUAACACGUGGGUGACCUGCCCUCAGCUCUGGGAUAAGCCUGGGAAACCGGGUCUAAUACUGGAUAUGACUCCAUGACGCAUGUUGGUGGGGUAGGAAAGCCUUGUGCGGCUGAGGAUGGGCCCGCGGCCUAUCAGCUUUGGUUGGUGGGGUGAGGCCUACCAAGGCGACGACGGGUAGCCGGCCUGAGAGGGCGACCGGCCACACUGGGACUGAGACACGGCCCAGACUCCUACGGGAGGCAGCAGGUGGGGAAUCUUGCGCAAGUGGGCGAAAGCCUGACGCAGCGACGCCGCGUGAGGGAUGACGGCCUGGUGU